UUUGAAGUGAACAUGCGUAAGGGUUUUUCUUUGUGUGAACUCUCUCAUUUGGAAGCAUUUUAUUGCUCUUGAUCAUGCUUGAUCAUGUUGAGGAGAGUUGAAGAAACUCAAGACCCUUGUUAUAAAUGCAAAAGAACAUGGAAUAAAAGUAGUACCUGCUUUGGUCAAAAGGAUGCUAGAAAAGAACAUGUUUCUCUUUGGGUUUGUGGAUUUACAUGAAGGUUCUGUCAGUGAGGCAGGGAACCAACUCACAGAAUUGCAAGAUGCCCGUGUGCAAGUUGCAUAUAAGAAGUUGUUUGAUGAUAUUCGGAUUGAGCAAUUCCUCCAUAUGGACAUGGUGGGUAUGUAAUUUGAUUUAGAGAUGCUCAAGAAAAUGUUAACAGAAUAUGCAGAGGCGAAGAAACAUGUCAUCAGAGAAGCAAGCAAGGCAGUAGAUGUCCAAAACAUACAGCAUAUAUCAGAUGAUAGGGAAUUUAUUGGAGAUGAAGUUGAGAGGAUCACAGAGAACUGGAACGUCCAAAGGCAAGUGUUUUAUCAGCAAACAGGACUGAAUCAACGUCAUGCUCUGAAAGAUGAGCAACAACAUCAACCACAGCACAAAAAAAAUGAACAACACGAUGAUGAUUUUGGUGAUGAAUUUAGUCAUCAACUGGAACUGCAACUAAUUGAAGAAGAACAGCUACAACAAAAACAAGAGGAUGAUGAAUGUAAUCAUGAAUUGGAGCUGUAACUUUCUGUAAAACAACCCUAAUAAUGUAGCAACAAAAUGG
Molecule: long non-coding RNA, 770 nt
Organism: Populus nigra (black poplar)
Lineage: Eukaryota; Viridiplantae; Streptophyta; Magnoliopsida; Malpighiales; Salicaceae
Exons: 5
Source: RefSeq, a predicted model, not a curated record